GUAGCUGCGAGCGAACAGGGAUUAGCCCAGCACCGAAUCCCGCGGCCGAUAUCGGACGCCGGGAAAUGUGGUGUUCGGGAGGGUCCAUUUAUCCCGAGAUUAUGCGGUACGUCCAAGUCCUUCUUGAACGGGGCCACAGCCCAUAGAGGGUGCCAGGCCCGUAGCGACUGCCGCUGAUCGCGGGAGGAUCCCUCCUUAGAGUCGGGUUGCUUGAGAGUGCAGCCCUAAGCGGGUGGUAAACUCCAUCUAAGGCUAAAUAUGACCACGAGACCGAUAGCGAACAAGUACCGUGAGGGAAAGUUGAAAAGCACUUUGAAGAGAGAGUUCAAGAGUACGUGAAACCGUUUAGGGGUAAACCUGAGAAACCCGAAAGGUCGAAGGGAGAAAUUCAUUCGUGUUUCGCGACAGGCGUUGGACGGUCGAGUGACGGAUAGAUCGUUCGCGAACUAUCCGCACCUUUCGUUUUUCGAUCCGGACGCGAACGCGUGCACUUUUCUCCUGGUAGGACGUCGCGAUCCGUUGGGUGUCGGUCUACGGCACGCGGUGGAGCCCGUCCGUCGUUUUAACGAACGUACGGAUGGACCCGCGUGGCCCGGCCGACCCGCUCGACGGUAUACGAAAGGUUAGAGGCCGCUCGAUUAUGAAGCGUUCGACUCGUGGCAAGCGCGCCAGAUGUGUCGGCGAUCGGACCCGGUGCCGAUUCUGACCUCUGGUGACUGUUGGCUACGAAGUUCUCGAACAGACCUCGUUGACCGAUCUGCGACGCUAUAGCUUUGGGUACUUUCAGGACCCGUCUUGAAACACGGACCAAGGAGUCUAGCAUGUGCGCGAGUCAUUGGGAAUCACUAAACCUAAAGGCGUAAUGAAAGUAAAGGUCUUCCUCGCGAGGACUGAGGGAAGACGGGCGGUUUACCCUUAAAAGUGGCCGCCCCGCACUCCCGGGGCGUCUCGUUCUCAUUGCGAGAAGAGGCGCACCAUGAGCGUACACGCUGGGACCCGAAAGAUGGUGAACUAUGCCUGGUCAGGACGAAGUCAGGGGAAACCCUGAUGGAGGUCCGUAGCGAUUCUGACGUGCAAAUCGAUCGUCGGAACUGGGUAUAGGGGCGAAAGACUAAUCGAACCAUCUAGUAGCUGGUUCCCUCCGAAGUUUCCCUCAGGAUAGCUGGCGCUCGUCGCGUACGAGUCUCAUCCGGUAAAGCGAAUGAUUAGAGGCAUUGGGGUCGAAACGACCUCAACCUAUUCUCAAACUUUAAAUGGGUGAG
RNAcentral lists this ribosomal RNA (1262 nucleotides) under Exeiratus sp. NZAC 03037759. Its description in RNAcentral is "partial large subunit ribosomal RNA". It matches the Rfam family "Eukaryotic large subunit ribosomal RNA", at positions 83 to 1077 of the family's 3401-position model. The record is from RNAcentral. Lineage: Eukaryota; Metazoa; Arthropoda; Insecta; Coleoptera; Curculionidae.